ACUCAAAGGAAUAGACGGGGACCCGCACAAGCAGUGGAGUAUGUGGUUUAAUUCGACGCAACGCGAAGAACCUUACCGAGGCUUGACAUUAUGUUGAGUAUGCCGGAAACGGCAUAGCCUACGGGCAAUAUAACAGGUGGUGCAUGGUUGUCGUCAGCUCGUGUCGUGAGAUGUUGGGUUAAGUCCCGCAACGAGCGCAACCCUUGUCAAUAGUUGCCAGCAAUAAGAUGGGCACUCUAUAGAGACUGCCGGUGAUAAAUCGGAGGAAGGUGGGGACGACGUCAAAUCAUCAUGCCCCUUAUGUCUCGGGCUACACACGUACUACAAUGGCUAUUACAACAGGAAGCGAAGGAGCGAUCCGGAGCGGAUCCCAAAAGAUAGCCCCAGUUCGGAUUGCAGGCUGCAACUCGCCUGCAUGAAGUCGGAAUUGCUAGUAAUUGCAGGUCAGCAUACUGCAGUGAAUACGUUCCCGGGUCUUGUACACACCGCCCGU
RNAcentral lists this ribosomal RNA (493 nucleotides) under uncultured bacterium. RNAcentral's name for it is "bacterial SSU rRNA". It matches the Rfam family "Bacterial small subunit ribosomal RNA", at positions 899 to 1397 of the family's 1533-position model. The record is from RNAcentral.